Molecule: transfer RNA, 74 nt
Filed under: Caudoviricetes sp.
Lineage: Duplodnaviria; Heunggongvirae; Uroviricota; Caudoviricetes
Description: tRNA-Gly
Rfam family: tRNA
About the family: Transfer RNA (tRNA) molecules are approximately 80 nucleotides in length. Their secondary structure includes four short double-helical elements and three loops (D, anti-codon, and T loops).
Source: RNAcentral
GCAGUCAUAGUUUAACGGUAAAAUUACAGCCUUCCAAGCUGAGGUUGAGGGUUCGAUUCCCUUUGACUGCUCCA